RNAcentral lists this ribosomal RNA (572 nucleotides) under Micromonospora sp. Its description in RNAcentral is "bacterial SSU rRNA". It matches the Rfam family "Bacterial small subunit ribosomal RNA", at positions 245 to 830 of the family's 1533-position model. The record is from RNAcentral. Lineage: Bacteria; Bacillati; Actinomycetota; Actinomycetes; Micromonosporales; Micromonosporaceae.
CUUGUUGGUGGGGUGAUGGCCUACCAAGGCGACGACGGGUAGCCGGCUGAGAGGGCGACCGGCCACACUGGGACUGAGACACGGCCCAGACUCCUACGGGAGGCAGCAGUGGGGAAUAUUGCACAAUGGGCGGAAGCCUGAUGCAGCGACGCCGCGUGAGGGAUGACGGCCUUCGGGUUGUAAACCUCUUUCAGCAGGGACGAAGCGCAAGUGACGGUACCUGCAGAAGAAGCGCCGGCCAACUACGUGCCAGCAGCCGCGGUAAGACGUAGGGCGCGAGCGUUGUCCGGAUUUAUUGGGCGUAAAGAGCUCGUAGGCGGCUUGUCGCGUCGACCGUGAAAACUUGGGGCUCAACCCCAAGCCUGCGGUCGAUACGGGCAGGCUAGAGUUCGGUAGGGGAGACUGGAAUUCCUGGUGUAGCGGUGAAAUGCGCAGAUAUCAGGAGGAACACCGGUGGCGAAGGCGGGUCUCUGGGCCGAUACUGACGCUGAGGAGCGAAAGCGUGGGGAGCGAACAGGAUUAGAUACCCUGGUAGUCCACGCUGUAAACGUUGGGCGCUAGGUGUGGGGGGC